This 59-nucleotide transfer RNA is filed under the name Miniopterus fuliginosus (Japanese long-fingered bat). RNAcentral describes it as "tRNA-Ser". Lineage: Eukaryota; Metazoa; Chordata; Mammalia; Chiroptera; Miniopteridae. The record is from RNAcentral.
GAAAAAGCAUGCAAGAACUGCUAACUCAUGCUUCCUCACUUAACAGUGAGGCUUUUUCG